Molecule: transfer RNA, 85 nt
Filed under: Buchnera aphidicola (Brachycaudus cardui)
Lineage: Bacteria; Pseudomonadati; Pseudomonadota; Gammaproteobacteria; Enterobacterales; Erwiniaceae
Also listed under: 3 other names
Description: tRNA-Ser
Rfam family: tRNA
About the family: Transfer RNA (tRNA) molecules are approximately 80 nucleotides in length. Their secondary structure includes four short double-helical elements and three loops (D, anti-codon, and T loops).
Source: RNAcentral
GGAGAGGUGGCCGAGUGGUUUAAGGCAGCGGUCUUGAAAACCGCCGACGAGCAAUCGUCCGAGAGUUCGAAUCUCUCUCUCUCCG